This 72-nucleotide transfer RNA is filed under the name Nippostrongylus brasiliensis. It matches the Rfam family "tRNA". Rfam says of the family: Transfer RNA (tRNA) molecules are approximately 80 nucleotides in length. The record is from Rfam by way of RNAcentral. Lineage: Eukaryota; Metazoa; Nematoda; Chromadorea; Rhabditida; Heligmosomidae.
ACAUCGGUAGCACAGUGGUUAGUGCAGUCUGCCGGAAACAGAAAGAGCCGGGUUCAAUUCCCGUCCGAUGUC